Molecule: ribosomal RNA, 460 nt
Filed under: uncultured bacterium
Lineage: Bacteria
Description: partial 16S ribosomal RNA
Rfam family: Bacterial small subunit ribosomal RNA
Source: RNAcentral
CCUACGGGAGGCAGCAGUGAGGAAUAUUGGUCAAUGGACGAGAGUCUGAACCAGCCAAGUAGCGUGAAGGAUGACUGCCCUAUGGGUUGUAAACUUCUUUUAUAUGGGAAUAAAAUGUUCCACGUGUGGGAUUUUGUAUGUACCAUAUGAAUAAGGAUCGGCUAACUCCGUGCCAGCAGCCGCGGUAAUACGGAGGAUCCGAGCAUUAUCCGGAUUUAUUGGGUUUAAAGGGAGCGUAGGUGGAUUGUUAAGUCAGUUGUGAAAGUUUGGGGCUCAACCGUAGAAUUGCAGUUGAAACUGGCAGUCUUGAGUACAGUAGAGGUGAGCGGAAGUCGUGGUGUAGCGGUGAAAUGCUUAGAUAUCACGAAGAACUCCGAUUGCGAAGGCAGUUCACUGGACUGCAACUGACGCUGAGGCUCGAAAGUGUGGGUAUCAAACAGGAUUAGAUACCCUUGUAGUC